This 484-nucleotide ribosomal RNA is filed under the name uncultured bacterium. Its description in RNAcentral is "partial 16S ribosomal RNA". It matches the Rfam family "Bacterial small subunit ribosomal RNA", at positions 30 to 507 of the family's 1533-position model. The record is from RNAcentral.
AUUGAACGCUGGCGGCAGGCCUAACACAUGCAAGUCGAGCGGAUGAAGGGAGCUUGCUCCUGGAUUCAGCGGCGGACGGGUGAGUAAUGCCUAGGAAUCUGCCUGGUAUUUGGGGAUAACGUCCGGAAACGGGCGCUAAUACCGCAUACGUCCUGAGGGAGAAAGUGGGGGAUCUUCGGACCUCACGCUAUCAGAUGAGCCUAGGUCGGAUUAGCUAGUUGGUGGGGUAAAGGCCUACCAAGGCGACGAUCCGUAACUGGUCUGAGAGGAUGAUCAGUCACACUGGAACUGAGACACGGUCCAGACUCCUACGGGAGGCAGCAGUGGGGAAUAUUGGACAAUGGGCGAAAGCCUGAUCCAGCCAUGCCGCGUGUGUGAAGAAGGUCUUCGGAUUGUAAAGCACUUUAAGUUGGGAGGAAGGGCAGUAAGUUAAUACAUUGCUGUUUUGACGUUACCAACAGAAUAAGCACCGGCUAACUUCGUG